GAUUGCCCUAGUAACGGCGAGUGAAGCGGCAACAGCUCAAAUUUGAAAUCUGGCUUCGGCCCGAGUUGUAAUUUGUAGAGGAAGCUUUAGGCGCGGCACCUUCUGAGUCCCCUGGAACGGGGCGCCAAAGAGGGUGAGAGCCCCGUAUAGUUGGAUGCCUAGCCUGUGUAAAGCUCCUUCGACGAGUCGAGUAGUUUGGGAAUGCUGCUCAAAAUGGGAGGUAAAUUUCUUCUAAAGCUAAAUACCGGCCAGAGACCGAUAGCGCACAAGUAGAGUGAUCGAAAGAUGAAAAGCACUUUGAAAAGAGGGUUAAAUAGCACGUGAAAUUGUUGAAAGGGAAGCGCUUGUGACCAGACUUGCGCCAGGCUGAUCAUCCGGUGUUCUCACCGGUGCACUCUGCCCGGCGCAGGCCAGCAUCGGUUCUCGCGGGGGGAUAAAGGCUCCGGGAACGUAGCUCCUCCGGGAGUGUUAUAGCCCGGGGCGUAAUGCCCUCGCGGGGACCGAGGACCGCGCAUCUUGCAAGGAUGCUGGCGUAAUGGUCACCAGCGACCCGUCUUGAAACACGGACCAAGGAGUCAAGGUUUUGCGCGAGUGUUUGGGUGUAAAACCCGCACGCGUAAUGAAAGUGAACGUAGGUGAGAGCUUCGGCGCAUCAUCGACCGAUCCUGAUGUAUUCGGAUGGAUUUGAGUAGGAGCGUUAAGCCUUGGACCCGAAAGAUGGUGAACUAUGCUUGGAUAGGGUGAAGCCAGAGGAAACUCUGGUGGAGGCUCGCAGCGGUUCUGACGUGCAAAUCGAUCGUCAAAUCUGAGCAUGGGGGCGAAAGACUAAUCGAACCAUCUAGUAGCUGGUUACCGCCGAAGU
This 862-nucleotide ribosomal RNA is filed under the name Chaetomium arcuatum. RNAcentral describes it as "LSU rRNA". It matches the Rfam family "Eukaryotic large subunit ribosomal RNA", at positions 73 to 967 of the family's 3401-position model. The record is from RNAcentral. Lineage: Eukaryota; Fungi; Ascomycota; Sordariomycetes; Sordariales; Chaetomiaceae.